This 1545-nucleotide ribosomal RNA is filed under the name Klebsiella pneumoniae. RNAcentral's name for it is "bacterial SSU rRNA". It matches the Rfam family "Bacterial small subunit ribosomal RNA". The record is from RNAcentral. Lineage: Bacteria; Pseudomonadati; Pseudomonadota; Gammaproteobacteria; Enterobacterales; Enterobacteriaceae.
AAAUUGAAGAGUUUGAUCAUGGCUCAGAUUGAACGCUGGCGGCAGGCCUAACACAUGCAAGUCGAGCGGUAGCACAGAGAGCUUGCUCUCGGGUGACGAGCGGCGGACGGGUGAGUAAUGUCUGGGAAACUGCCUGAUGGAGGGGGAUAACUACUGGAAACGGUAGCUAAUACCGCAUAACGUCGCAAGACCAAAGUGGGGGACCUUCGGGCCUCAUGCCAUCAGAUGUGCCCAGAUGGGAUUAGCUAGUAGGUGGGGUAACGGCUCACCUAGGCGACGAUCCCUAGCUGGUCUGAGAGGAUGACCAGCCACACUGGAACUGAGACACGGUCCAGACUCCUACGGGAGGCAGCAGUGGGGAAUAUUGCACAAUGGGCGCAAGCCUGAUGCAGCCAUGCCGCGUGUGUGAAGAAGGCCUUCGGGUUGUAAAGCACUUUCAGCGGGGAGGAAGGCGAUAAGGUUAAUAACCUCAUCGAUUGACGUUACCCGCAGAAGAAGCACCGGCUAACUCCGUGCCAGCAGCCGCGGUAAUACGGAGGGUGCAAGCGUUAAUCGGAAUUACUGGGCGUAAAGCGCACGCAGGCGGUCUGUCAAGUCGGAUGUGAAAUCCCCGGGCUCAACCUGGGAACUGCAUUCGAAACUGGCAGGCUAGAGUCUUGUAGAGGGGGGUAGAAUUCCAGGUGUAGCGGUGAAAUGCGUAGAGAUCUGGAGGAAUACCGGUGGCGAAGGCGGCCCCCUGGACAAAGACUGACGCUCAGGUGCGAAAGCGUGGGGAGCAAACAGGAUUAGAUACCCGUAGUCCACGCCGUAAACGAUGUCGAUUUGGAGGUUGUGCCCUUGAGGCGUGGCUUCCGGAGCUAACGCGUUAAAUCGACCGCCUGGGAGUACGGCCGCAAGGUUAAAACUCAAAUGAAUUGACGGGGCCCGCACAAGCGGUGGAGCAUGUGGUUUAAUUCGAUGCAACGCGAAGAACCUUACCGGUCUUGACAUCCACAGAACUUUCCAGAGAUGGAUUGGUGCCUUCGGGAACUGUGAGACAGGUGCUGCAUGGCUGUCGUCAGCUCGUGUUGUGAAAUGUUGGGUUAAGUCCCGCAACGAGCGCAACCCUUAUCCUUUGUUGCCAGCGGUCCGGCCGGGAACUCAAAGGAGACUGCCAGUGAUAAACUGGAGGAAGGUGGGGAUGACGUCAAGUCAUCAUGGCCCUUACGACCAGGGGCUACACACGUGCUACAAUGGCAUAUACAAAGAGAAGCGACCUCGCGAGAGCAAGCGGACCUCAUAAAGUAUGUCGUAGUCCGGAUUGAGUCUGCAACUCGACUCCAUGAAGUCGGAAUCGCUAGUAAUCGUAGAUCAGAAUGCUACGGUGAAUACGUUCCCGGGCCUUGUACACACCGCCCGUCACACCAUGGGAGUGGGUUGCAAAAGAAGUAGGUAGCUUAACCUUCGGGAGGGCGCUUACCACUUUGUGAUUCAUGACUGGGGUGAAGUCGUAACAAGGUAACCGUAGGGGAACCUGCGGUUGGAUCACCUCCUUACCUUAAAGAA